This 255-nucleotide ribosomal RNA is filed under the name uncultured bacterium. RNAcentral's name for it is "partial 16S ribosomal RNA". It matches the Rfam family "Bacterial small subunit ribosomal RNA", at positions 524 to 776 of the family's 1533-position model. The record is from RNAcentral.
UACGUAGGGUGCGAGCGUUAAUCGGAAUUACUGGGCGUAAAGCGUGCGCAGGCGGUAAGUUAAGUCUGAUGUGAAAGCCCCGGGCUCAACCUGGGAAUGGCAUUGGAAACUGGCUUGCUGGAGUGUGGCAGAGGGGGGUGGAAUUCCGCGUGUAGCAGUGAAAUGCGUAGAGAUGUGGGAGGAACACCGAUGGCGAAGGCAGCCCCCUGGGCUAACACUGACGCUCGAUGCACGAAAGCGUGGGGAGCAAACAGG